This 468-nucleotide ribosomal RNA is filed under the name uncultured bacterium. RNAcentral's name for it is "partial 16S ribosomal RNA". It matches the Rfam family "Bacterial small subunit ribosomal RNA", at positions 28 to 507 of the family's 1533-position model. The record is from RNAcentral.
GACGAACGCUGGCGGCGUGCUUAACACAUGCAAGUCGAACGGAAAGGCCCUGCUUUUGUGGGGUGCUCGAGUGGCGAACGGGUGAGUAACACGUGAGUAACCUGCCCUUGACUUUGGGAUAACUUCAGGAAACUGGGGCUAAUACCGGAUAGGAGCUCCUGCUGCAUGGUGGGGGUUGGAAAGUUUCGACGGUUGGGGAUGGACUCGCGGCUUAUCAGCUUGUUGGUGGGGUAGUGGCUUACCAAGGCUUUGACGGGUAGCCGGCCUGAGAGGGUGACCGGCCACAUUGGGACUGAGAUACGGCCCAGACUCCUACGGGAGGCAGCAGUGGGGAAUAUUGCACAAUGGGCGGAAGCCUGAUGCAGCAACGCCGCGUGCGGGAUGACGGCCUUCGGGUUGUAAACCGCUUUCGCCUGUGACGAAGCGUGAGUGACGGUAAUGGGUAUAGAAGCACCGGCUAACUACGUG